GUCCGCUUAACUCAGUGGUACGAGUGUCGGCUUCCGGCGCCGGAGGUCAAGGGUUCGAUCCCCUUAGCGGAUU
Molecule: transfer RNA, 73 nt
Filed under: Trichosporon asahii var. asahii CBS 8904
Lineage: Eukaryota; Fungi; Basidiomycota; Tremellomycetes; Trichosporonales; Trichosporonaceae
Description: tRNA-Arg (CCG) (tRNA-Arg-CCG-1-1)
Rfam family: tRNA
About the family: Transfer RNA (tRNA) molecules are approximately 80 nucleotides in length. Their secondary structure includes four short double-helical elements and three loops (D, anti-codon, and T loops).
Source: RNAcentral